UGGCAACUCUGCAUCAAGCAAGUCUGUUGGUGACAUUUUUCCAACAGCAUGUGCUCACUUCAUGUCUCUGUGUCACAUUUUGUUGCAAUAAAGUAUUUUU
This is a long non-coding RNA of Nomascus leucogenys (northern white-cheeked gibbon), 100 nucleotides long. RefSeq lists it as uncharacterized. The record is from RefSeq and is a predicted model, not a curated record. Lineage: Eukaryota; Metazoa; Chordata; Mammalia; Primates; Hylobatidae. The transcript has 3 exons.